CCUCUCUCCUCUCUCUCUCUCUCUGCAUCAGCCUUCUUCUUCCCCAAGAAACUCCUUCCGCUGCUCAGUCAACGAACAUUCCCACGAGUACCCUUUAUAUAUAUAUCCCAUCUCUCUCCGCGCUCUAGCUUCACGCCCCAUCAAGAACAACCAACCCUUCGCAAAAAGUCGCUCUCUUGAUCCGUCAACCGGCGCCGGUCCGAGGAACCUCCGGCGACCCAAUUCGCUAAAUGGUGCUCCCGUUGCUGAAGCUCGGGACCCUCGUCGUCAAGACGCUGAGCAAGCCCGUCGCGAGCCGGCUCAAGCAGCAGGCCGCCCUCCACCCGCGGUUCCGGGAGCUCAUCGUCGGCUUCGCUCAGGCUAAUCAUCGAAUGACAACAAACGUACAAAGAAGGUUAUAUGGUCAUGCAACUGAUGUGGAGAUCCGGCCUUUGAAUGAACAGAAAGCUGUACAGGCUGCAGUGGACCUGAUUGGAGAACUUUUUGUCUUUUCGGUUGCUGGAGCUCUUGUGAUCUUUGAGGUACAACGAAGUGCUAAAUCAGAAGCCAGAAAGGAGGAAAAACGCAGGGAAGAACUGGAGGCAAUGAGGCAAAGGGAUGAAGCUUUAGAGAAGGAGGUGGAACUUCUCAAGCAAAAACUCGCAGAGCUUGAGCAACUAGCCAAGGGACGAGGUCUUUCCGGCCUUUUCAACUUCAAACAUGCUAAUACAGAAGAUGCAAAGAUAGCGAAACCAGCUUGAGGCUUUGACCAGCAGAGUAGGAUCCAUUACUAUAAUAAAAACAAGAUUCAUCCAUACCGUCCACCCAAUUGUGGAAAACCAAUUCUUCCGGUCUUUUUUGCCAAUUCUUUAAUUUGUAUCUUUCUUGGUUUGUUUCUUCAGAAAUAGAAGGCCACAUGGUUAGACAUUUUUGGAAGAUGAGAGGAAGGCAAUUGAAUGGAACCGCGGAGGAUCCGUGUCACUGGAACAAUUAACAUUGAAGAGUUUGGUUUCUUGAUUCAUCUGCAACUUAGCUGAAAAACGGGGUCUACAGCAGAUUUGAUAAACUCAUUGCAGAAGGUCACCGACAUAAAAAUAUGGUAGAUUUUACUUUUCAUCUAAAACGGGUCCUCUUGGUCUAUAAAGGACAAUUUGAGCAGCAAUGCCUGCAUAUGCAGCAUGUGCAUCAAAAUAAAAGACAACCGUCAGUUGGGGUUCCAAGAAAAUCUGUAGAAAAUUGUACUGCUCAUCAAGGGCAAAAAAUGUUCAGCCAUAGAAAUUUCAUGCUAAAUGGUCAAGAAAUCCCCAUUGAAGCACCUUAAGGAAUGUUUUGGGACGUCAAUCAGUCUCAAUUCUUCACAAGAAUGACAGUCUCCAGUUCUUUUCAAGCAAUCUCAUUUCUUCUGAACUUAUGUUCCAUCAAAUUUAACUUAUGUAUUUCUCAAGUAAAAACACGAGAUUUUCCUCGCUUUGAGCUUGAGGAACGGUUUGAGACGUCACCUGAAGUUAUCUGAAGUAUGUGA
Syzygium oleosum is the source of this 1501-nucleotide RNA transcript. It is a transcript of the gene named OPA3-like protein, with no coding region annotated. The transcript is spliced from 5 exons. NCBI's taxonomy places the organism in Eukaryota, Viridiplantae, Streptophyta, Magnoliopsida, Myrtales, Myrtaceae. The record is from RefSeq and is a predicted model, not a curated record.